This is a non-coding RNA of Capsicum annuum, 105 nucleotides long. Lineage: Eukaryota; Viridiplantae; Streptophyta; Magnoliopsida; Solanales; Solanaceae. The record is from Rfam.
UGUUGAUGGUGUGGACAGUUCCGAAGAAAAGCUUUGAAAUGCUCCCAAGCAUGAUAGAGAUUCUCAUCUGGCUUCUGUUUGAAGAACACAAUCUCACUACAAAGU